GAUGAACGCUGGCGGCGUGCCUAAUACAUGCAAGUCGAGCGAAUGGAUUAAGAGCUUGCUCUUAUGAAGUUAGCGGCGGACGGGUGAGUAACACGUGGGUAACCUGCCCAUAAGACUGGGAUAACUCCGGGAAACCGGGGCUAAUACCGGAUAAUAUUUUGAACUGCAUGGUUCAAAAUUGAAAGGCGGCUUCGGCUGUCACUUAUGGAUGGACCCGCGUCGCAUUAGCUAGUUGGUGAGGUAACGGCUCACCAAGGCAACGAUGCGUAGCCGGCCUGAGAGGGUGAUCGGCCACACUGGGACUGAGACACGGCCCAGACUCCUACGGGAGGCAGCAGUAGGGAAUCUUCCGCAAUGGACGAAAGUCUGACGGAGCAACGCCGCGUGAGUGAUGAAGGCUUUCGGGUCGUAAACUCUGUUGUUAGGGAAGAACAAGUGCUAGUUGAAUAAGCUGGCACCUUGACGGUACCUAACCAGAAAGCCACGGCUAACUACGUGCCAGCCGCCGCCGUAA
This 514-nucleotide ribosomal RNA is filed under the name uncultured bacterium. RNAcentral's name for it is "partial 16S ribosomal RNA". It matches the Rfam family "Bacterial small subunit ribosomal RNA", at positions 28 to 523 of the family's 1533-position model. The record is from RNAcentral.